RNAcentral lists this ribosomal RNA (497 nucleotides) under uncultured bacterium. RNAcentral describes it as "partial 16S ribosomal RNA". It matches the Rfam family "Bacterial small subunit ribosomal RNA", at positions 28 to 507 of the family's 1533-position model. The record is from RNAcentral.
GAUGAACGCUGGCGGCGUGCCUAAUACAUGCAAGUCGAGCGAACAGACGAGGAGCUUGCUCCUCUGACGUUAGCGGCGGACGGGUGAGUAACACGUGGAUAACCUACCUAUAAGACUGGGAUAACUUCGGGAAACCGGAGCUAAUACCGUAUAACAUGUUGAACCGCAUGGUUCAACAGUGAAAGACGGUCUUGCUGUCACUUAUAGAUGGAUCCGCGCCGCAUUAGCUAGUUGGUAAGGUAACGGCUUACCAAGGCAACGAUGCGUAGCCGACCUGAGAGGGUGAUCGGCCACACUGGAACUGAGACACGGUCCAGACUCCUACGGGAGGCAGCAGUAGGGAAUCUUCCGCAAUGGGCGAAAGCCUGACGGAGCAACGCCGCGUGAGUGAAGAAGGUCUUCGGAUCGUAAAACUCUGUUAUUAGGGAAGAACAAAUGUGUAAGUAACUAUGCACGUCUUGACGGUACCUAAUCAGAAAGCCACGGCUAGCUACGUG